RNAcentral lists this transfer RNA (74 nucleotides) under Pseudoclavibacter caeni. RNAcentral describes it as "tRNA-Gly". It matches the Rfam family "tRNA". Rfam says of the family: Transfer RNA (tRNA) molecules are approximately 80 nucleotides in length. Their secondary structure includes four short double-helical elements and three loops (D, anti-codon, and T loops). The record is from RNAcentral. Lineage: Bacteria; Bacillati; Actinomycetota; Actinomycetes; Micrococcales; Microbacteriaceae.
GCGGCCGUAGCUCAAUGGUAGAGCCCCAGUCUUCCAAACUGGUCACGCGAGUUCGAUUCUCGUCGGCCGCUCCA